UACAGAGGUGGCAAGCGUUGUUCGGAAUUACUGGGCGUAAAGAGCUCGUAGGUGGUUUGUCGCGUUGUUCGUGAAAACUCACAGCUCAACUGUGGGCGUGCGGGCGAUACGGGCAGACUAGAGUACUGCAGGGGAGACUGGAAUUCCUGGUGUAGCGGUGGAAUGCGCAGAUAUCAGGAGGAACACCGGUGGCGAAGGCGGGUCUCUGGGCAGUAACUGACGCUGAGGAGCGAAAGCGUGGGGAGCGAACAGG
This 253-nucleotide ribosomal RNA is filed under the name uncultured bacterium. RNAcentral describes it as "partial 16S ribosomal RNA". It matches the Rfam family "Bacterial small subunit ribosomal RNA", at positions 524 to 776 of the family's 1533-position model. The record is from RNAcentral.